This 440-nucleotide long non-coding RNA is filed under the name Setaria viridis. RNAcentral's name for it is "long non-coding RNA (SVIR_LNC007364)". Lineage: Eukaryota; Viridiplantae; Streptophyta; Magnoliopsida; Poales; Poaceae. The record is from RNAcentral.
UGGGGAGUAUUUGUAUGGUCUAGAGUUGACAGGAGUUGAGUUGGGUAGUAAUGGUAUUGUAUGGUCAUAGGCUCUCUGAGGUGGUAAUUGAUUAGGAAUUACAAACAAAUCUUGGAACUCAUUGAUUAUGUUUUUCACUGCUUUGUCAACUUUUGGAACGUGAUUGUUAUGUUCAACAAUAGCACAAGUCCAAAUAUCAUUUCCUUUUGUCCACUUCAGGAACUGUUUAGCUGGUAACUCUUGGAUCUGAAGCUGUUGCUGGGGCACUACUCCUUGGAGUUUGAUAUAUUUGUCUUCUUCCUGCCAGGAAAUUGUUUUGUUCUUCCAAUGAUAAUCCAUGGGACUUCUAGAUUCCAACCAAUCAUAACCCAAUAUAGCAUCAUGUAUGUCCAAGUCAAUUACCCUUAUAUCAGUUUAGAAAGUAUGACCCUGGAUCCACC